GAGAGCACGUGUCCUGCUCUUCUCCCUUUCUUUGAUCCAAGAAGAAAGCACUGUUUUGUUUUUGAGCCAAACUCAGUCUGUUCUCCAGUGGACACCGGCAGGACAACCCUUGUUGGUGCCCAGGUCAAAAGGGGAUCCGUGGGUGCAUCCUGGAGCCGAGCUCGGGGGUUAUCUCCCUGUCCUCAGAAGCUGGUCAGCCUUCCUCACUGUCUUUCCUGCUGAACCAGGCGGAGGCCCACCCUAGUGCCCGUGCUUCAAGAGAAGGAACCAAAGAGCCCACACCAACCGUUUUCCCUGAGGACAAUGCAGCAAGGGAACCCUUGUAGGGAGGCACCCUAUUUUAUGCCAACUGGGAUAGAGCCACUGCCAGAGGCACCACGCGGGAGGAUGGGCCGGCAUCAAACACACCAUUGAGGCUGCCAAGAGCAGGUGAGUGGAACAGAACCAAGGGUGGGGUUGGUGCGUACCCGGGCCGUGGUCCAGGCUUGUCAGGCCAACACCUCUGAGGCAAGUUUGUCAUUUUUAAGCAGAUGC
Sus scrofa (pig) is the source of this 534-nucleotide non-coding RNA. NCBI's taxonomy places the organism in Eukaryota, Metazoa, Chordata, Mammalia, Artiodactyla, Suidae. The record is from RefSeq and is a predicted model, not a curated record.